GAUGAACGCUGGCGGCGUGCCUAACACAUGCAAGUCGAACGGAUUUAUAACGAAACCUAGUGAAUUAUAAGUUAGUGGCGGACGGGGGAGUAACGCGUGGAAAACCUGCCGUAUACUGGGGGAUAACACUUAGAAAUAGGUGCUAAUACCGCAUAAGCGCACAGCUUCGCAUGAAGCAGUGUGAAAAACUCCGGUGGUAUACGAUGGUUCCGCGUCUGAUUAGCUAGUUGGUGAGGUAAAAGCCCACCAAGGCAACGAUCAGUAGCCGGCCUGAGAGGGUGAACGGCCACAUUGGGACUGAGACACGGCCCAG
This 313-nucleotide ribosomal RNA is filed under the name uncultured bacterium. RNAcentral's name for it is "bacterial SSU rRNA". It matches the Rfam family "Bacterial small subunit ribosomal RNA", at positions 28 to 334 of the family's 1533-position model. The record is from RNAcentral.